ACUUUGAUUAUGGCUCACCUGAUCGACAGCGACCUGGCGGCGUGCCUAAUACAUGCAAGUCGAACGCUUCUUUUUCCACCGGAGCUUGCUCCACCGGAAAAAGAAGAGUGGCGAACGGGUGAGUAACACGUGGGUAACCUGCCCAUCAGAAGGGGAUAACCACUUGGAAACAGGUGCUAAUACCGUAUAACAAUCGAAACCGCAUGGUUUUGAUUUGAAAGGCGCUUUCGGGUGUUCGCUGAUGGAUGGACCCGCCGGUGCAUUAGCUAGUUGGUGGAGGUAACGGCUCACCAAGGCCACGAUGCAUAGCCGACCUGAGAGGGUGAUCGGCCACAUUGGGACUGAGACACGGCCCAAACUCCUACGGGAGGCAGCAGUAGGGAAUCUUCGGCAAUGGACGAAAGUCUGACCGAGCAACGCCGCGUGAGUGAAGAAGGUUUUCGGAUCGUAAAACUCUGUUGUUAGAGAAGAACAAGGAUGAGAGUAACUGUUCAUCCCUUGACGGUAUCUAACCAGAAAGCCACGGCUAACUACGUGCCAGCAGCCGCGGUAAUACGUAGGUGGCAAGCGUUGUCCGGAUUUAUUGGGCGUAAAGCGAGCGCAGGCGGUUUCUUAAGUCUGAUGUGAAAGCCCCCGGCUCUACCGGGGAGGGUCAUUGGAAACUGGGAGACUUGAGUGCAGAAGAGGAGAGUGGAAUUCCAUGUGUAGCGGUGGAAUGCGUAGAAUAUAUGGAGGAACACCAGUGGCGAAGGCGGCUCUCUGGACUGUAACUGACCGCUGAGGCUCGAAAGCGUGGGGGGAGCAAACAGGAUUAGAUACCCUGGUAGUCCACGCCGGUAAACGAUUGAGUGCUAAGUGUUGGAGGGUUUCCGCCCUUCAGUGGCUGCAGCUAACGCAUUAAGCACUCCGCCUGGGGAGUACGACCGCAAGGUUGCAACUCAAACGAAUUGACGGAAGGGCGAAU
This 964-nucleotide ribosomal RNA is filed under the name uncultured bacterium. RNAcentral describes it as "bacterial SSU rRNA". It matches the Rfam family "Bacterial small subunit ribosomal RNA", at positions 1 to 926 of the family's 1533-position model. The record is from RNAcentral.